GACCUGAUCCGGGCCCCUCUGGCGGUCCGCCGGCACAGCCGGCGCCUCCGCGAUGUCGGAUCACCGCG
Non-coding RNA from Rhodospirillales bacterium 69-11, 68 nucleotides. The record is from Rfam. NCBI's taxonomy places the organism in Bacteria, Pseudomonadati, Pseudomonadota, Alphaproteobacteria, Rhodospirillales.